Long non-coding RNA from Bradysia coprophila, 602 nucleotides. RefSeq lists it as uncharacterized. The record is from RefSeq and is a predicted model, not a curated record. Lineage: Eukaryota; Metazoa; Arthropoda; Insecta; Diptera; Sciaridae.
GUUACUUUGAAAUAGAACAUCAGUUUGUAUACAGCAAGAACCGACGGUGCAUGCAUGUCAUGUGAAUUGUGUUGAUUUCAAAUACAGUAUUAAUUUGUCGUCAUUGUUGUGCAAUUAAUUGUAAAAAUUUCUGAUUUUUUUACAAAUUCGACAUCUGAUUCAGAGACUUUUUAAGUGGACUAAUACUUUGUCCUCGAUCAAUCGUUAACCACAUUCCGAGAAUAUAACUCAACUGAAACGAUGAAAAUCCUCCAGAGUUUGUUCAUCGUACUAUUCCUAGUGGCAGUACUGGGCUCUAAGUACUUUCCCGUAGCAGAAGGCGAUCAGACGUGUGAAUGCGUCAAAUGUGCAUGUUGUUCACCAAAGGAUAGGGAUCAUAGUGUUCAAUGUGAAACCGGACAGGUGUGCUGCCGUGAUAAACCCAUAUAUAGCUUAUGUGAUGCUGUUCAUCUGAUAUUCUUCAGACACGGCUACCGACCAUAAUAAGAUGGUAGUGUUGUAUGUAGCGAUGAAGAAAAAUAUGCUGCCGGGCACAUACUAAAGCACGUUAAGCGAGUUUAGUCUCGUUGUUCGUUUUUUUAAAAUAAAAUUUGUAUUGACCA